This is a long non-coding RNA of Nomia melanderi (Alkali bee), 970 nucleotides long. RefSeq lists it as uncharacterized. Lineage: Eukaryota; Metazoa; Arthropoda; Insecta; Hymenoptera; Halictidae. The record is from RefSeq and is a predicted model, not a curated record.
GAAAGGUCCCGCGUAGCAAAUGGAAGUGGCCCGGAAUGUGUCGAAAGUGAAUGUCGUUUCACCGAGAAAUCCUGCAGCACGGGUUAUUUCCGUCAUGGUUGCACCGUCACCCUCGUCCAAACACCUACACCGAAGUCGCGCGACACAUUACAGCAUAAGGGCUCUCAUAAAUAUCGUCCCAUUCCUUUGGCCGCGGUUGUCGACGCCGCGCGGCCGGUCAGGCGCUUUGGGCUUCCUAGAUAGGCAAGAGUGGAGGGUGGUUCGGAGAAGUUGGUGAUGCAAAUUUCCUAACACGCGAGAGAUAAAGCCGCCCCUUCUGUCCAAGUUUUCGUUCACGAUGUGCUGAACGAUUAAAGUGAACGCCUCCUGUGCGCUGGGACGAGGCGGAAUGAAAGAAAUACUCUUUGAACGCGGUGGCCAACUGUAGCCGGCAAGAGGGAGGAGUUCGCGGACUGUUCCGCAGACGAUUACGCCUCUGAUGUAAUUUAUUGCGCGGGAAAGCGGCGUGCGGUCGCACCGUAACACGAGAACCAAGGAAAAUCUGCGCCAACUUCACCGAUGAAAUUCAUAUGCAAACAGCUCGUGCAAUAUUUGACACGCUUAUGAAUUUAUUGAGAAAACAACAUCGCAUCGCGGGUUCCCACGCGCUUAAUACUAAUCAAUACAUUGCUCUCUCUCUCAUUUAAUUGUCCUAAUAUUUCGAUACGUUCGAACAUAUAUCGUUAAAACCAUCUGAAGCUUACUCCUUUGUUUAACGUUUUUAAUAGGUUAUCCAUAAUCCAGGAAAAAAAAAUUUGUAUUCUUUCAAGGGGUGGCUUCACCCCUUGAAAAUGAAAUUCGGUACGAAACAAAAUCGCAAUGUAUUAGGCUUGGCUUACUCUACUUAUACGCAAAGUUCCCUUGUUACUUAAAUCAGAUAAUUAAACUGCUUUUAAUGUCCCAAAUCUUUUAAAUAUUCCAAAUAUUAACU